Molecule: long non-coding RNA, 631 nt
Organism: Herpailurus yagouaroundi (jaguarundi)
Lineage: Eukaryota; Metazoa; Chordata; Mammalia; Carnivora; Felidae
Exons: 2
Source: RefSeq, a predicted model, not a curated record
GCCUGGUGCCUGGCUGGACUCCAGGUAUUCUAACAGAAGGGGUGCAGCUCUGAAAAAAAUGCAAACAUCCUAGAGAUUUCUCACAACGUUUAGAUUUUUAUCCAUUUUCUCAGUUCCCGAGUCACUCCUAAUCCUUCCAUCCUCAUCAGUGCAAAUGUGCUUUUGAAAAUAAGAGGCAGUGAGAUAUGGAGUAUCCUUCAAAGAUAUUUAAACCUUAUGAAGUAAUGCUCCAAAUACAGAAAACAACUGAAGCAAUGAUUCAGGUUUCCCAACGAGUUCCUGGCAUGGUACAUUUUGGAGCACUUAGUGAAUGUUUAUUGAAUAGGUGAAGAAAGAAGUAUCACGCAUUUCUGCAGAUAUAAGUAUUCUUAUUUGAAUACAUCACCAAUCUUUGUUCCAGACCGAGAGAGGUUGUAAUAGUAGAUAAUUUAAUAGAAAGAAUGGCACUUUUCUCUCCAGUAUUAAAAUGAAAGUGGAAUUCCUGGGAUAGAAUUGGUCUAACAAAGAUAAAAAUCAGGAAAUUAAUUUUCAGUGCGUCCAGCUUCUAAAUCAAAAGUCAAAACCUUCCAUUUUAUGAUCUGAAUUCAUCUUGCAGUCCUAUUUUAUUUGGCCUUCGCGGUGUUUUCAAAAA